UCUUAAAAACAAUCCCCUGAAUCAAAAGAAACCACCCUUACGGGUAACAAAACAAGGCAACUCUCCCAGAGAUUACUGGCAAAUUGAUUUUUCUGAACUACCCAAACAAAAUGGAUAUAGGUAUUUGUUAGUUGAACACAGAAGUUGUGG
Molecule: long non-coding RNA, 150 nt
Organism: Egretta garzetta (little egret)
Lineage: Eukaryota; Metazoa; Chordata; Aves; Pelecaniformes; Ardeidae
Exons: 3
Source: RefSeq, a predicted model, not a curated record